UUUUUACCACAGUUGAGGAAAGCGCACGCAUAAACGCCUCAUUCUCUCGACGCAAACGUGAUCAGUUCGAAAAUAUCAACGGACCGAAAUUGAGGUACAAAAUCGAGGAGAGAGAGGAGAAAACUCAAAAUGACGCCGCUUCCCUUAUUCUUCCCCGUUCUGCUGAUUCUUCUCUCCGUUGACUAUUACCUUGCCGAGGAGAUUCAUUGGGAAAGUGUGCCAGUCGAACACGCUGUCUGUAAGUGGAAGCGUUUCUUCUAACCGCGAGCAGACCAGUCGGUCUCGUUUGACAUGUCAAAGAGUGAAGACGCUGCCUUGCAUGUGAAGCCAAAUCGUUCUUCGCCUUCAGGAUUCUUGCCGUUUCAGGGAUCUGCACAACGACAGGGAGAUAGAACGCCAAGAGAAGUCGACUGUAUGCUUUGUGCAGACGGUUCAGCGUGUAUGACGCAGCGGCCUCCAGCAAGAGAAACUCAAGCACCGUGUUCAAAUGCGGUGGGGACUCUUGCUCGACAUGACAACGCUUAGAAGUGCUUUUUCGGAAGAAGGACAAGUUGGACCGGAAAUGAGGACCUAGGUGUGCUCUUUUGCGUUGUUGUUCACCGUUCGAUCAUUACCAAUUUUCGUGCCCCCGUGAGUUCAACGCUCAGGUAUGUUGAUGAUAACUGGAUAUGCGUUAAAAGGUACGUACUCCGGAGUGGUGAAUUGUUGUGGUGAAGUGAUUUGUUGCUGCUAUCUCCUGUUUCGUGAGGGUUCUUGUCGGUACUCAUAUACCGCAGGCAUGAGGGGCUUUCUUUGCAGAACAUUUCAGUAAACCAAGACUGCAGCAUUUUCAAGAUUGCCAUAACCAGCAUCAAUGCAGCUCUCAUGUCAACAUCAGCAUCAAGACAGCUCUGAUAGACCACCUCUUACUGUGUACGUUUUCCCCCCCCUUUUGAGACACCAUUGAAGGGCCAGUGGUUACGCAGGCAGGCUGGAUAUUAUGGUAGACCAUUUCCACCCUUUGCUUUUCAGGCUACAUUGCCAAUGACAGUAGUUAUGCGGACAGGCUGCAUAUUUCUGUAUACCCCUCUUUUUUUGUUUUUCAUUUCAGACACAAUUGGCAUGCAUUGGGUGAUGCAGGCAGACUGCUUAGUGCGCACCACUCGUCGUUUAGUCUAUUGAGGUGCUACAAGUGUUGUGUCAGUCAAUUUCCUCUCCGAAAAUAAAAUGUUGGGCUCCACA
Molecule: long non-coding RNA, 1221 nt
Organism: Ornithodoros turicata
Lineage: Eukaryota; Metazoa; Arthropoda; Arachnida; Ixodida; Argasidae
Exons: 6
Source: RefSeq, a predicted model, not a curated record